This 497-nucleotide ribosomal RNA is filed under the name uncultured bacterium. RNAcentral describes it as "partial 16S ribosomal RNA". It matches the Rfam family "Bacterial small subunit ribosomal RNA", at positions 28 to 507 of the family's 1533-position model. The record is from RNAcentral.
GACGAACGCUGGCGGCGUGCCUAAUACAUGCAAGUAGAACGCUGAAGCUUGGUGCUUGCACCGAGCGGAUGAGUUGCGAACGGGUGAGUAACGCGUAGGUAACCUGCCUGGUAGCGGGGGAUAACUAUUGGAAACGAUAGCUAAUACCGCAUAACAGUAGAUAUCGCAUGAUAGCUACUUGAAAGGUGCAAAUGCACCACUACCAGAUGGACCUGCGUUGUAUUAGCUAGUUGGUGAGGUAACGGCUCACCAAGGCAACGAUACAUAGCCGACCUGAGAGGGUGAUCGGCCACCCUGGGACUGGGACACGGCCCAGACUCCUACGGGAGGCAGCAGUAGGGAAUCUUCGGCAAUGGACGGAAGUCUGACCGAGCAACGCCGCGUGAGUGAAGAAGGUUUUCGGAUCGUAAAGCUCUGUUGUAAGGGAAGAACGAGUGUGAGAGUGGAAAGUUCACACUGUGACGGUAUCUUACCAGAAAGGGACGGCUAACUACGUG